UUUUGUUAGCCUGAUAAUGUUGAAAGCAAGCGAGUGAAUUGGAUUAAAUAUUUUUUCAUUUGUGCCUCACUUCAAACAAAUGUUGUGAUCUUCGCUCAUCAUUUAUUAUUGAUAUAAAAAAAAAUGUCAUAAAUAAUGCAACAGGGAGAGUUGUAAAAUGACGAAGAACUGGAAGCGACGACGUCGACUGGCUGCCAGCACAGUACAAUUUACAAACUGCGCACUGUCUUUAUAAACAGACCAAUAAUACAAAAGCCAUUGUAUUUAAUUUUAUGAAGAACUUUCAUUUGAUGUGAACAAGGAAUUUCUAGCAUGGAAGAAGGACAAUAAAAUAUAAUUCCUAAAUAACCACCCGCACUGAGUGUUGAUUCAUCCCUAAAUCCUAACUUUAAAAUAGUUGUUGCACUGAAUGAAAAGCAGGCUGUUAUGCGAGUGCCUGAAAGACUUUGAAAUAUAUUUCUUGUGAAGAAUUGGAAUAUAGACUCAGCUAUCAGCUAUCAGGUUCAAUGUGAAUGCAACUAAUCUAUGGUUCAGAUUCCUUGAAUGUGGCGCUUAAUAAACCAACAAGGCAAAGUUCAACGUACUAUGGCGUUUCAGAUAAAGUUGUAGAUGGUAAUACUAAUCAGGAUUGGUCUGGGGGAAGUUGUACACAGACUGAUGACGAUAGAGCAACAGAAUGGUUGUGUGUCGAUCUAAAACAGAGUUUUGAUAUCAGUAGUAUGAAGAUAUUUAACAUAUUAGAUGACGAUACUGACACAAUGAUAGGAUUUGAGAUUGGAUUGAGUUCUACUGGUAAAUGUGAUGAAGCAGGUUUUAGAUCAGCUACACCAUGUUAUAAAGACCACACGUCAAAAGGACAAUCUGUAUAUACCAUAGAGAGAUGUAAUCAACCACCUGUACCAUCAUUAUCGGCUAGAUAUGUUUUUGUUUCAACACAUAAAUAUUUGACGUUAUGUGAAGUACAAAUAU
This is a long non-coding RNA of Patella vulgata (common limpet), 969 nucleotides long. RefSeq lists it as uncharacterized. The transcript has 4 exons. Lineage: Eukaryota; Metazoa; Mollusca; Gastropoda; Patellidae. The record is from RefSeq and is a predicted model, not a curated record.